Long non-coding RNA from Tachysurus fulvidraco (yellow catfish), 1003 nucleotides. RefSeq lists it as uncharacterized. The record is from RefSeq and is a predicted model, not a curated record. The transcript has 3 exons. Lineage: Eukaryota; Metazoa; Chordata; Actinopteri; Siluriformes; Bagridae.
AAUCAAACCCAAGCAUUGUCAUUGCGGAAGUGGAACUGACAGGGUGACGGUGCACUGCACUUGGUAUUUGUUUAGCUAAGCCCAAAAAAUGCUAAGCAAUAUUUUGAGGUAAAGGCUUUCUGCAUCUUGAAGGCGAACACAGAGAGAAUGGCAUAAUUUGUACUACAUGCACAUUCUGCACUUUAACCAGGUAUGGUUCUUAUCUGACUAGAAUGAAAGCCUGCAGUCGCACUGGCCCUGAUAAGCUUGGAGACCUGGAUCUAAACCUUCCUGAAUGUUCAGGUUUGAAUACAAACACUUUAAAUGACCUGAAUGUUAAUGAAAGUUUACUACAGUCUGUAUGCAUGUGUAUCUGUUUAUCUGUCUGUCUGUCUGUUACUGAGGAGUUAUUAGAACCUAAAGAGCAGGAUUAAUAUGGGUGGAAAGUUGAUAAAUUAACAUAAAUAUGACUGCAUAUAAAAGAAGAUAUAAGAAAUAAUUACUGCUUGAUGCCUGGACCCUAUAACACCAAUUUAAAAAUGCAAACGGCUUGUUUCUGCUUUUUCUUGUUAUGCUCCUAUCAACGUUAUUCCAACCUGCAGUAAGAUUUAGCACCCAAUCCAUACGCUCGAUUGCCUGAUUGACACUACAUGCCCAAGGCUGUGGUGGAAAAGACAGCAGCGGUAAAAUGUUUAAAAUGUCAGCUUACAUAUAUUUGGAUAUCUACAUUGUAACAACAUGGACAUGACUUUUCUCUCCCUCAAGCUAGUUAACAAAGUCUGAUAGAAUGGACUGCCUUGUGCUAAACUGCUAGAAUACUAAACAUGAUAAAUUUGCAAAUAAAACCAGCAGAGCACCUGCACUAUGGUUUUGCUGCCUAUCUUGCUAUGCACUUAAAGCCAUGUUCUAAUUCAGAAGGUACAAAAGAAACAAGAAAAUAAUUUUUACUCUUCUAUUAACAUGGAAACACAUUUGUUUGAACCUGGAGGGUCCUUUAGGCAUUAAACCUACAGCACUUGUGUUU